GUAUUAUAAGAUUAUUUUUUUAUGUAAUCUCAAAAUGAGUUCAGUUCAAUUUUAAUAAAGGAUAAGAUAAUUGUUGGGGACGGCCAAGAAAAAUUUUAACCAUGUUUAAUCCCCAACAUUACAUACGGUCAAAGCCAGCACAAUGGGAAGAAGCUUCAAUGAUGAAGACUCACUUCAGUAAUGAUCCUUCCGCAGGUUCACCUACGGAAA
This 210-nucleotide unclassified non-coding RNA is filed under the name uncultured fungus. RNAcentral describes it as "sequence contains ITS1, 5.8S rRNA gene". Lineage: Eukaryota; Fungi. The record is from RNAcentral.